GACGAACGCUGGCGGCGUGCUUAACACAUGCAAGUCGAACGGAGAUGUUAGCAAUAACAUCUUAGUGGCGGACGGGUGAGUAACGCGUGGGCAACUUGCCUCUAACUGGGGGAUAACACAGGGAAACUUGUGCUAAUACCGCAUAAUAUCACUGGGUGGCAGCAUUCGGUGAUCAAAGGAGUAAUCCGGUGAGAGAUGGGCUCGCGUCCGAUUAGCUAGUUGGUGGUGUAACGGACCACCAAGGCGACGAUCGGUAGCCGAACUGAGAGGUUGAUCGGCCACAUUGGGACUGAGACACGGCCCAGACUCCUACGGGAGGCAGCAGUGGGGAAUAUUGCACAAUGGGGGAAACCCUGAUGCAGCAACGCCGCGUGAAGGAUGAAGGUUUUCGGAUUGUAAACUUCUUUGAUGAGGGACGAAUAAUGACGGUACCUCAAAAACAAGCCACGGCUAACUACGUGCCAGCAGCCGCCGUAA
RNAcentral lists this ribosomal RNA (477 nucleotides) under uncultured bacterium. RNAcentral's name for it is "partial 16S ribosomal RNA". It matches the Rfam family "Bacterial small subunit ribosomal RNA", at positions 28 to 523 of the family's 1533-position model. The record is from RNAcentral.